Long non-coding RNA from Strigops habroptila (Kakapo), 1232 nucleotides. The record is from Ensembl. NCBI's taxonomy places the organism in Eukaryota, Metazoa, Chordata, Aves, Psittaciformes, Psittacidae.
GCCGCCGCCUUUCCCGCCGCCUGCCCGGGGGCAGGUCUGGAGCCCGGUCGCUGCGUCCGGAGCCGCCCGGUAGCGAGCUUCCAUUACCCGGGACUGCAGCCGCUGGUGUCGGGGCAGGCAGCCCCCAGCGGGCCUGGAGCGAGCCGCGGUUCAGUAAACGCUGUUAACGAGCCUUUCCCUCCUCUUCUCCCCAGGAACCGGUCAGGGAUGCAGUCGCUGGAGGCAAAGCGAGGAAGCGGCAGUGGUCCAGAGGAGCCUCGGCUGUCCCCGGAGCACCGGAGAGACCCGGCGCUAUCUGUAGAUAAAUAUGUACCAAAUACAGAUUUAUUCUCGGGGUUUAUCAGCGAUACUGGUUUGCACAUACAGAAACAAUCCAAACCCAUCAGGGUCAGUAACUGCCGCCCCACGACACGUUUUGGUGUCGGCGUUGUCAUCUGCAGCUCGUCACUUCCCAGCAGAGGGAAACGCAGCACAAGUGAUGAGGGGCUGUGGCAAUGGCAGGCCCCUGGCAAACCCCAACUGUCUCUGUUCUCUUUUAACUUCACUUUCUUCUGCUGCCAAACUCUGAUGCAUGCUGAGUGAUUAAAAAUAUCAAAUGCAGCGUUACCCAGCAAGGAGUCAAGCCAGAGGGGAAAGAAGAAACCCAGCGUAGUGAAGCCAGUGUCGUACAACACAGCAGACUGGGGCACGGGGCUUGUAUGUAGCCCUGGUGACAGUGCCUGAAGAAAAAGGAGAGGAUUGUCCUGGCGUGGUUUGGGGUUUGAGUAUCUCCCCUCACCUGCCUCCUCCAUAUCCUUGCUUCUUGGGUGGGAGCUGUCGGAUUUCCAUGCACACGGAGCAAACUGCUGCCACUCCGGGGACAGGGACCACCGGUGCUGGAAGAGGUGGUUUAUCUGCGAGAAGCAGCAGCGAAGGGGUUGAUGUUGUGCAGUCACUGGGCAGUUCAAUAGCUGAGUUACGUGCUGGGUCCCCAGCACUCGGUCACCCCUUGUCCCCUCCAAACACGGGUUAGGAGUGAGCAGAGGGCGAGCGGUCGGGGGGCAGAGGCUCCAUGACACAGGGUGGCCGCAGCUCUGGGGCUGUCCCCCGCUUGCGCAGUCGCUGCCCUCCUGUUGAACCACAGGAGGCUGGAUGUGCCCAUGGGUUUGUGUCCAGCCCUGGGCUCACUGGAGCCUCUUUUCCCUUCCCAAUGUAAUGCAGCUGGAAAAUAAACCCAAGAGGUUUCCCUGGCA